This 254-nucleotide ribosomal RNA is filed under the name uncultured bacterium. RNAcentral describes it as "partial 16S ribosomal RNA". It matches the Rfam family "Bacterial small subunit ribosomal RNA", at positions 524 to 776 of the family's 1533-position model. The record is from RNAcentral.
GACGUAGGGCGCGAGCGUUGUCCGGAUUUAUUGGGCGUAAAGAGCUCGUAGGCGGCUUGUCGCGUCGACUGUGAAAACCGUCGUGACUCAACUGUGGUCUGCAGUCGAUACGGGCAGGCUAGAAUUCGGUAGGGGAGACUGGAAUUCCUGGUGUAGCGGUGAAAUGCGCAGAUAUCAGGAGGAACACCGGUGGCGAAGGCGGGUCUCUGGGCCGAUACUGACGCUGAGGAGCGAAAGCGUGGGGAGCGAACAGG